UACGUAGGGGGCGAGCGUUGUCCGGAUUUAUUGGGCGUAAAGAGCGUGUAGGCGGCCAGGUAGGUCCGUUGUGAAAACUCGAGGCUCAACCUCGAGACGUCGAUGGAAACCAUCUGGCUAGAGUCCGGAAGAGGAGAGUGGAAUUCCUGGUGUAGCGGUGAAAUGCGCAGAUAUCAGGAGGAACACCGAUGGCGAAGGCAGCUCGCUGGGACGGUACUGACGCUGAGGCGCGAAAGCGUGGGGAGCAAACAGG
RNAcentral lists this ribosomal RNA (253 nucleotides) under uncultured bacterium. RNAcentral's name for it is "partial 16S ribosomal RNA". It matches the Rfam family "Bacterial small subunit ribosomal RNA", at positions 524 to 776 of the family's 1533-position model. The record is from RNAcentral.